This 423-nucleotide ribosomal RNA is filed under the name uncultured bacterium. Its description in RNAcentral is "partial 16S ribosomal RNA". It matches the Rfam family "Bacterial small subunit ribosomal RNA", at positions 359 to 773 of the family's 1533-position model. The record is from RNAcentral.
GAAUAUUGGACAAUGGGCGAAAGCCUGAUCCAGCCAUGCCGCGUGUGUGAAGAAGGACUUUUGGUUGUAAAGCACUUUAAGCGAGGAGGAGGCUACUUGGAUUAAUACUUUAGGAGCGUGGACGUUGCUCGCAGAAUAAGCACCGGCUACCUCUGUGCCAGCAGCCGCGGUAAGACAGGGGGUGCGAGCGUUAGUAGGCUUUACUGGGCGUAAAGCGUGCGUAGGCGGCUUUUUAAGUCGGAUGUGACAUCCCUGAGCUUAACUUAGGGAUUGCAUUCGAUACUGGGAAGCUAGAGUAUGGGAGAGGAUGGUAGAAUUUCAGGUGUAGCGGUGAAAAGCGUAGAGAUCUGGAGGAAUACCGAUGGCGAAGGCAGCCAUCUGGCCUAAUACUGACGCUGAGGUACGAAAGCAUGGGGAGCAAAC